This 468-nucleotide ribosomal RNA is filed under the name uncultured bacterium. Its description in RNAcentral is "partial 16S ribosomal RNA". It matches the Rfam family "Bacterial small subunit ribosomal RNA", at positions 28 to 507 of the family's 1533-position model. The record is from RNAcentral.
GAUGAACGCUGGCGGCGUGCUUAACACAUGCAAGUCGAACGGAAAGGCCGAAGCUUGCUUCGGUACUCGAGUGGCGAACGGGUGAGUAACACGUGGGUGAUCUGCCCUGUACUUCGGGAUAAGCUUGGGAAACUGGGUCUAAUACCGGAUAUGACGAUCUCUUGGAUGGGGUUGUGGAAAGCUUUUGCGGUAUGGGAUGAGCUCGCGGCCUAUCAGCUUGUUGGUGGGGUAAUGGCCUACCAAGGCGUCGACGGGUAGCCGGCCUGAGAGGGUGUACGGCCACAUUGGGACUGAGAUACGGGCCAGACUCCGACGGGAGGCAGCAGUGGGGAAUAUUGCACAAUGGGCGCAAGCCUGAUGCAGCGACGCCGCGUGGGGGAUGACGGCCUUCGGGUUGUAAACUCCUGUCGCAAUCGACGAAGCCUUUUGGUGACGGUAGGUUGAGAAGAAGCACCGGCUAACUACGUG